Molecule: transfer RNA, 74 nt
Filed under: bacterium
Lineage: Bacteria
Description: tRNA-Gln
Rfam family: tRNA
About the family: Transfer RNA (tRNA) molecules are approximately 80 nucleotides in length. Their secondary structure includes four short double-helical elements and three loops (D, anti-codon, and T loops).
Source: RNAcentral
UGGGAGAUCGUCUAAUGGUAGGACAACAGUCUCUGGAUCUGCCUAUCGGGGUUCGAAUCCCUGUCUCCCAGCCA